AAAAUUACAAUCUUCCAACAUUAAUAGGUUCUGAGCAAUUCGAAUUUUCGCGUUUAAUUCAUUUGCCACGUCCCUGUACAUGGUGAAAAGAUCAGACAUCAUCUAAAAGAUCCGAAAUUUUGUUUUACAACACAUACUAAAAUUUCAGGGUUCCAGCGAUAGUACAAGUACCCGAAAAAUGCGAUUUUAUGAAAAAAGUCCAUUUUUUUGCGUUUUUGCAGGUAAUUGGAGGUGUCAACCUAAACUCUGAUGAAAUGGCUGGUGGGAACAAUACUUUGACGCAUGGUGGAUACAAAUUUUUUGCUCGUGACAGGUGGCCGGGACUUGGUUGGGUUUUUUGUAAAAUUAUGAAUGAAAAUGAACCGGAAACGAUCAGGGAAAGGAAGCACCGAAUCAGAAAAUGAAUGGGCUUUCCGAAUCUGUGCAUAUCAAUUGGGGA
This 439-nucleotide long non-coding RNA is filed under the name Anthonomus grandis grandis. Its description in RNAcentral is "uncharacterized LOC126733631". Lineage: Eukaryota; Metazoa; Arthropoda; Insecta; Coleoptera; Curculionidae. The record is from RNAcentral.